This 253-nucleotide ribosomal RNA is filed under the name uncultured bacterium. Its description in RNAcentral is "partial 16S ribosomal RNA". It matches the Rfam family "Bacterial small subunit ribosomal RNA", at positions 524 to 776 of the family's 1533-position model. The record is from RNAcentral.
UACAGAGGGGGCAAGCGUUAUUCGGAAUUAUUGGGCGUAAAGGGCGCGUAGGCGGCCUGGCAAGUGGAAGGUGAAAUCCCUCGGCUUAACCGAGGAACUGCCUUCCAAACUGCUUGGCUUGAGUCCGGGAGAGGUGAGUGGAAUUCCCAGUGUAGCGGUGAAAUGCGUAGAUAUUGGGAGGAACACCAGUGGCGAAGGCGGCUCACUGGACCGGAACUGACGCUGAUGCGCGAAAGCGUGGGGAGCAAACAGG